CGUUCCAUGGCCGAAUUCGUCAAGACAUUGCCGAUUAGAGGCGAAGAUGCAGGUUCGAGUCCCGCUGGAACUG
RNAcentral lists this transfer RNA (73 nucleotides) under Operophtera brumata (winter moth). It matches the Rfam family "tRNA". Rfam says of the family: Transfer RNA (tRNA) molecules are approximately 80 nucleotides in length. Their secondary structure includes four short double-helical elements and three loops (D, anti-codon, and T loops). Lineage: Eukaryota; Metazoa; Arthropoda; Insecta; Lepidoptera; Geometridae. The record is from Rfam by way of RNAcentral.